Molecule: long non-coding RNA, 458 nt
Organism: Cicer arietinum (chickpea)
Lineage: Eukaryota; Viridiplantae; Streptophyta; Magnoliopsida; Fabales; Fabaceae
Source: RefSeq, a predicted model, not a curated record
GGUGGUCUUGCUGGGCAAUCUUUUAUUUCUCAUGUCACUGCAAAGAUUCUUGAUAGCAUUCAAGUGGACAUACGGAAUUUACAUUUUGUGUAUAGCGAUGUGCAAAAUGAUCUGGGGCAUAUUAUGUUUGGGUUGAAGUUUUCUAACUUGACCAUGAAGCAAAAUCUUGUUGGUUCUUCAAAUGGAAGGGUGAGUGUGGCCCAAGAACAGAAAAUUGUAGAGGUGAAAGGACUGGAAAUUUAUUCCAGUAUGCCAUAGUUCAAUGGAUUUGGUAAUUAUGAACACUAUGGGUAACUCCUACUCAGCAAGCACUAUAGGACCCGAAGGAAAACAAUACAAUUCAAUAUUAGCACCAUUCGACGUGACCUUAAUUCUUUCGGCUAACAGAUCGCAAAAGCCUGAUGACAAUGCUGCUCAAUAUUCUGUUACUGCUGAACUGAGUGGUUUGGUUAUAUCCU